RNAcentral lists this ribosomal RNA (267 nucleotides) under uncultured bacterium. RNAcentral describes it as "partial 16S ribosomal RNA". It matches the Rfam family "Bacterial small subunit ribosomal RNA", at positions 88 to 354 of the family's 1533-position model. The record is from RNAcentral.
CAUUCGAGUGGCGGACGGGUGAGUAACGCGUGGGUAACCUGCCUUACACAGGGGGAUAACACCUGGAAACAGGUGCUAAUACCGCAUAAGCGCACAGGGCCCGCAUGGCCCGGUGUGAAAAACUCCGGUGGUGUAAGAUGGACCCGCGUCUGAUUAGCUUGUUGGCGGGGUAGGGGCCCACCAAGGCGACGAUCAGUAGCCGGCCUGAGAGGGUGGACGGCCACAUUGGGACUGAGACACGGCCCAAACUCCUACGGAAGGCAGCAG